CUGAAAUGACAAAUGUUGUAAAAUAGACAUCACUACCAGAUAGAAAUACACAUGUUCUUCAUAAUCAUUUUCCACAAUUAAAUAGAAAAUUUGUGUUCCUGACAAUUCAAAAAUCACGAUAAAUCUCAGAAGUCUGGAAAGAACUCUGACCUCAUUAGGCCCCAAACAUACACUGGAGGAGCAAGAUCGGCCCCAGAGGAACUGACAUUUUCAUCAUCUCUGGUAAGGAUGGGCAUCUGAGGGGCUCAAAUGGACCACUACGCAACCAGAAAAAUAACUACCCUUUCCACUAUAAGUGUGUCUCUGGCAUGUGCUCUUCAGAGUGAUAGAGAUGAAGACUGAAGAGGAGAGAAAAGAAGGGUUGCCAGCAGCAAUCAAUCAGCUGAUCAGCCUUUUGAGAGAGGAGAUGAUACUAUGAAACUCGCAACCCAAGUAAAUGAGAGUGCGAGAAUCCAUCCCCUAAUACUUCACAAACUAUGAAGCCUCUCUCUCCACUUAUGUCACUUGUCCAUGGCUACCAGACGCUCUGACUCCAUUUUUUCAUGGUCUAUUCUCAUCAGCUUCUGGUUUUUCUUCUUUCCGUUUCUCCUUUCCUUUCCGUCUCUGCCUUUAACCUUUUACCCCCAUUUUUAUGGGGUCACAAUAUGGAACUGAAAGGUUUUUUAAACAGUCUCAAAAAAUAUUCUUGGAUAAAAUUGGGUAAUCUUCAUUUUUUAAAUCAGGUAAGUCAUAUUUUACAUGUAUCUUUAUGUUUCUCAAAAACCAGCUCCUUUUCCAUAUUGGCCUUCAUUAAUUUAGGGAGUCCGUGGCCUUACACUGGGAGGUGGGGGACUUUCCAGUCAUCUACAACAUAUAAUUACCUGUCUUUCUGAGAAAAUGGAACGUUAACUGCAAGUUAUCUUUUUGACAACUCUUCUCCCAUGAAAUAAUACAAAUUGUCAACUUAAAGAACAUCACUAAAUUCACUCAAGCCUAUUUUACAAUUUGAGGUGACAAGAUUCUACAAAAUAGAGAAAGGAGUUGUCUUGGUUUGGCUUAUAUUCUAGAAUAGCUGAAUACCCAGUUACCAAGUUAGUUAUUUAGCUAACUUCUCCCAUCAGAUGGGUACUUCUACUUCCACAUUCCUAGAGGCCAAUUUAAAGCAAAAACCAAAACUUUUCAUACAAAGCACAUUCCUAGAGGCCAAUUUAAGGCAAAAAAAAAAAAAAAAAAAACCCCAAAAAAC
Long non-coding RNA from Lynx canadensis (Canada lynx), 1225 nucleotides. RefSeq lists it as uncharacterized. The transcript has 2 exons. NCBI's taxonomy places the organism in Eukaryota, Metazoa, Chordata, Mammalia, Carnivora, Felidae. The record is from RefSeq and is a predicted model, not a curated record.